AAAGAUAGAGAGUAAUUCAUUAAUAUAAAAAGGCUUCAAUGCUUGUUACAUAUAAGCACAAUAAAUAAAGGUUUACAAGCAAUGGGCCCUAUCUACACACCACUUGAUCCACAAGAAUUAAACCCAUACAUUCAUGCAGAUCCCUAAACCCGAAAGCAACACAACUCUUAGAAACUCAUAGUGCAAUCGCAACAGAGCAGAAAUAAUCCAUCGACAACAUGAUUAGAUGGUGGCCAAAGUUGAAAAAGAAACGGUAGAAACACACAAGGAGAGGCUUUCAUCAGAACAAAAAGAAACCUAGUGAGGUGUAUCAAACACUCUUCCCCACAACAAAUCUCAACUCAAACUUAGUUAGAGCCUAAGAUCAGUGGUUCAAACGGGAUAUGCAGAGCACCGAUCAGAAGAACAUAGCAAUCAAUGGGUGUUAGAUAGAGCUCCUUUUGGCUCUCUCAAUCUCCUAUAGCCAGUUGAGAGACUGGAUGCUCACAAAUUAGAUGUGGCAUCGUUAUAUCUCUAUGAGGUACCUAACCACACAAAACCCAAAGAUUAGAUGUAAGCAUAGAUAAAUAACCACAAUAAACAAAGCUCCAUCCCUUGCUGAAGGUUUAAGAUAAAGGGAGAAGCACAUGCAGGUCCUUGGCACUCCUUCUCUUUUUAAGAACAGCCUACAACCAAACGAACACCCAAAGAAAAUAUUUACACCCUGUCCAAAGGUGGGGAAGGAGAUACCCACUCUCCUAGCCAGAGGAAGGAAGGCCAGCCCCUGCCCAAGAGGGGCAGAGGUGCCCACUUAAAUGGCAGAAGAAGAAGACUUAGGCUUUUGAAUAAACAAAAAACUUUGGAGAGAAAAGUUCUCCCUCUAAACUUAGAGAGAGAGAAAAU
Molecule: unclassified non-coding RNA, 882 nt
Filed under: Hevea brasiliensis (rubber tree)
Lineage: Eukaryota; Viridiplantae; Streptophyta; Magnoliopsida; Malpighiales; Euphorbiaceae
Source: RNAcentral